GCAUCGAUGAAGAACGCAGCGAAAUGCGAUACGCAAUGCGAAUUGCAGAACCGCGAGUCAUCAGAUCUUUGAACGCAAGUGGCGAAGGUGUUAAAAAGCCUUCAUGUUUGUUUCAGUGUGGAAAGGAAUCAUGCAUCUUAAUGCGAUUGAAGUGACUGCAAAGAAUCUUCUCUCGUUAAACAUGAUGGGUGGUCGAGCAAUCGCCGCCAGAACGAAGUAGUCACAUUCUUGUAAUGUGAACAUUCGUUCAGGCAUCAAGGUGAAUGUUCAUUAUACUGCUCAUAGAAAUUUUCUAUCUUCUCACUACACCUGAAAUAAGCAAGAUUACCCGCUGAACUUAAGCAUAUCAAUAAGCGGAGGA
RNAcentral lists this ribosomal RNA (361 nucleotides) under uncultured fungus. Its description in RNAcentral is "eukaryotic LSU rRNA". The stretch from base 1 to 121 matches the Rfam family "5.8S ribosomal RNA", at positions 30 to 154 of the family's 154-position model. Lineage: Eukaryota; Fungi. The record is from RNAcentral.